RNAcentral lists this ribosomal RNA (670 nucleotides) under uncultured bacterium. Its description in RNAcentral is "bacterial SSU rRNA". It matches the Rfam family "Bacterial small subunit ribosomal RNA", at positions 93 to 740 of the family's 1533-position model. The record is from RNAcentral.
CAGCGGCGCACGGGUGAGUAACACGUAGGUAACCUGCCCUCGAGCUCGGAAUAACCUACCGAAAGGUGGGCUAAUACCGGAUAUGACCACGGGAGCCUCGGCUCUGCGGUGAAAGGUGGCCUCUACUUGUAAGCUACCACUCAAGGAUGGGCCUGCGUGCCAUUAGCUAGUUGGCGAGGUAACGGCUCACCAAGGCGAUGAUGGCUAGCUGGUCUGAGAGGAUGGCCAGCCACACUGGGACUGAAACACGGCCCAGACUCCUACGGGAGGCAGCAGUAGGGAAUAUUGCGCAAUGGGCGAAAGCCUGACGCAGCGACGCCGCGUGGGUGAUGAAGGCCUUCGGGUCGUAAAGCCCUGUCGAGGGGGACGAAUCGGUCUCGACCUAACACGUCGGGGCCCUGACGGUACCCCUAAAGGAAGCACCGGCUAACUCCGUGCCAGCAGCCGCGGUAAUACGGAGGGUGCAAGCGUUGUUCGGAAUCACUGGGCGUAAAGCGCGUGUAGGCGGCCUGCCAAGUCUGAUGUGAAAGCCCGGGGCUCACCCCCGGAAGUGCAUUGGAAACUGUCAGGCUCGAGUCCCGGAGAGGAGGGUGGAAUUCCUGGUGUAGCGGUGAAAUGCGUAGAUAUCAGGAGGAACACCGGUGGCGAAGGCGGCCCUCUGGACGGUGAC